This 186-nucleotide ribosomal RNA is filed under the name Streptococcus pneumoniae. RNAcentral's name for it is "partial 23S ribosomal RNA". It matches the Rfam family "Bacterial large subunit ribosomal RNA", at positions 2741 to 2925 of the family's 2925-position model. Lineage: Bacteria; Bacillati; Bacillota; Bacilli; Lactobacillales; Streptococcaceae. The record is from RNAcentral.
CUGGGUAGCUAUGUAGGGAAGGGAUAAACGCUGAAAGCAUCUAAGUGUGAAACCCACCUCAAGAUGAGAUUUCCCAUGAUUAUAUAUCAGUAAGAGCCCUGAGAGAUGAUCAGGUAGAUAGGUUAGAAGUGGAAGUGUGGCGACACAUGUAGCGGACUAAUACUAAUAGCUCGAGGACUUAUCCAA